Molecule: RNA transcript, 1233 nt
Organism: Lolium perenne
Lineage: Eukaryota; Viridiplantae; Streptophyta; Magnoliopsida; Poales; Poaceae
Gene name: probable ribosome-binding factor A, chloroplastic
Source: RefSeq, a predicted model, not a curated record
UUCGAUUCUCGACAAUAUCCCUUCCCACCUCGACGGCCGACCGCCGCCGCCUCACCGCCGCGCAAAAAUCCCCCCGCCGCCCCCGCACACCCGGCGACGAUGUUCCCGUGUCGCCCACUGGUGUCCCCACCGCUGCCGCGCGCCCUCGCGGCCGCGGCGCCCGUAUCCCUGCGGCGUCUGCCGUCGGCGGCGCUGUCGCUGCGUGUGGUGCGGUGCAUGGCCAAGGAGCGGAGGGUGCGGAUGGUGGCGAAGCAGAUCCAGCGGGAGCUCGCCGACAUGCUGACCCGCGACCCCGUCAUGCAGCGCGCCGUCCUCCCCGAGGCCGCCCUCGGCGCCGACCGCUACCUCUCCUCCCUCACCACCAUCGCCGACGUCGAGCUCUCCAACGAUCUGCAGGUCUGCAAGGUGUAUGUGUCCGUGUUUGGGGACGAGAGGGGCAAGAAGGUCGCCAUGGCUGGACUCAAGGACAAGACCAAGUAUGUCAGGAGCCAGAUAGGCAAGCGGAUGAAGCUGCGUCUCACGCCUGAGAUACGCUUCAUCGAAGACGAGUCCAUGGAGCGUGGAAGCAGGAUUCUUACUAUACUGGACAAACUAAAGGAGGAAAGGGAGCAGCGAGAAGGAAAUGAUGUAGAGGAAGAUGGAGAGGCUUCAGAUCUAGCAGAAGAAGAAGAUGGUGACUGGGAUGGAGAUGAGCCAGAUGAGGAGGACAUAAUUUACGUAAAAUAGCCCAUUACGUCUUUUAGAAGCUUGAUCACCACUCGUUUCUAACUUCAGAACUCAUGAGUUCCCUUAGAAGUUAGUUACAUGCUGAUGAGAACUCUGCGGACACCUUGUUGGUAUCACACACAACACUUGAAGAGCUGUACCGAUGUAUCUGCGUUGCCAACUAGAAGCAGGACAUAUCCUUUCUCUGAAGGCUAGUCAGCCCGCCGGAUAUCUAAAGCAGAAUUUCGAGGGCAUAUUAUCACAUUAUGUUCACUAGGAUCAGCAUCUGACCAUCAAUGAGAGACAGUUUCACCGAUGUUCAUCCUUGGAUGUAUGCUAACCGGUCCUUGUUAUGUGCAGCUGGUGUGUAUGUUGAUCUUACCAAACAACGGAGGCACAUGCUUUUCAGCUUUCAUUUUCUAUCUGGUUUCGGAACAGUCUUGUUCAUCUUUCCUGAAAUCGUUUUGUAGUACAAUAGUAUGACUAUGAUCUAGUGAUAAAGUGUACCUUUAAUUGUUCUUUGUUAAA